Long non-coding RNA from Cygnus olor (mute swan), 806 nucleotides. RefSeq lists it as uncharacterized. Lineage: Eukaryota; Metazoa; Chordata; Aves; Anseriformes; Anatidae. The transcript has 4 exons. The record is from RefSeq and is a predicted model, not a curated record.
GUGCGUGGCACUUCAUUAGUACAAAAGCUUUGCAUUCAUAACAAAGAAAUGGGCAGUAGGAGAUGCACUAACCAUGUCUAUGUCAUCCUGCAUGGUGUCCCCCCUCCUUUAAACAGUGCCUGGGGCUCAGACAGGUCUUGGUGCACCACAGGGUGGGACUGUGCGAAAUGAGCUCCUAAAGACUGGUCCCUUCUGCUGAGCCUGGGGAGGAUGGCCCUGGGAUGCUGAGAGCCUGCAGAGUGCAGUAGGAUGGGUUUUGAGCAGGUUAUUCUUCCCAGUUGCUAGUUCUGAAGGAUGCAUAUGAAGCUGUUAGAAAGCCCUGUAUUGACUAAGAUGUCCAGUGUAAUCCAUUGGCUCAUUACUGAAGCAGUGUAAGUGCAUCACUCUGUGUGCAGCAGACUAUGAAGGCACCAGCAGCCCUUAGCAUACGUGGAUGUUUCCUGACAUUAAAGUCACUUCUGUAAGACAGACACAUCCAAUGGUGACUGUGCUCUAAGAAGAAGAAAGUAAAGGACCAAAGAACCAAACAAGACUUGGAUUAUAUAAGGCAAUCCACCCACCCUACACUUGGUGCUAAGGUGAUGAAAACCUGCAACAAGGUAGUUAGGGUCGCUGUGGGGUCUACCUGACUGGAAGUUCUUUGAGAGAAAGGUAGAAAAGCUCCUGCCAGAGAUGGACUUGCUCUAUGCAGUCCUGCCCCAGUGCAGAAAGGCUGUACUGGGAAACCUUUUUCAGACUCCUUCAAGCCCAGUAUUUCUAAGGAAAUGCCCGGGGGGUUGAAUUUCGUACUGCAAGUGAGCAGUAGU